AGUGAACGCUGGCGGUAGGCCUAACACAUGCAAGUCGAACGGCAGCACAGUAAGAGUUUGCCCUUACGGGUGGCGAGUGGCGGACGGGUGAGGCAUACAUCGGAAUCUACUUUUUCGGGGGGGAUAACGUAGGGAAACUUACGCUAAUACCGCAUACGACCUACGGGUGAAAGCAGGGGAUCUUCGGACCUUGCGCGAUUGAAUGAGCCGAUGUCGGAUUAGCUAGUUGGCGGGGUAAAGGCCCACCAAGGCGACGAUCCGUAGCGGGUCUGAGAGGAUGAUCAGCCACACUGGAACUGAGACACGGUCCAGACUCCUACGGGAGGCAGCAGUGGGGAAUAUUGGACAAUGGGCGCAAGCCUGAUCCAGCCAUACCGCGUGGGUGAAGAAGGCCUUCGGAUUGUAAAGCCCUUUUGUUGGGAAAGAAAAGCAGCAGGUUAAUACCCCGCUGUUCUGACGGUACCCAAAGAAUAAGCACCGGCUAACUUCGUG
This 492-nucleotide ribosomal RNA is filed under the name uncultured bacterium. Its description in RNAcentral is "partial 16S ribosomal RNA". It matches the Rfam family "Bacterial small subunit ribosomal RNA", at positions 29 to 507 of the family's 1533-position model. The record is from RNAcentral.